RNAcentral lists this ribosomal RNA (200 nucleotides) under uncultured bacterium. Its description in RNAcentral is "partial 16S ribosomal RNA". It matches the Rfam family "Bacterial small subunit ribosomal RNA", at positions 29 to 258 of the family's 1533-position model. The record is from RNAcentral.
AACGAACGCUGGCGGCAGGCUUAACACAUGCAAGUCGAACGCCCCGCAAGGGGAGUGGCAGACGGGUGAGUAACGCGUGGGAAUCUACCCAAUUCUUCGGAACAACUGAGGGAAACUUCAGCUAAUACCGAAUGUGCCCUUCGGGGGAAAGAUUUAUCGGAAUUGGAUGAGCCCGCGUUGGAUUAGCUAGUUGGGGGGUA